CCCGCAUUUUCAUUUUUCACUGGGCCCCACAAGUUACAAAACUGGUCCUGACCAAGCCUUUCCACCCACAGCUCCACCGCAGGGUGGUGCUUCUCCUUCAGCUACAAUCUAUGAUCUUCCCUCAGCCUCCUUCUGGUCAGAUUACUUCCCUCGCAGGAAUCUCCUUGGGCGGGGUCCCAUGAAUAAGACCCCAAGUCAAUACCAGCAUUAGGUUCUUUUACUCCAGAGAAGCGAGCGUUUUUUGGAGAACAGCUAUUGUGAACCUCUGUGCUAAUGCACAAGCCUGCUCACCAGCUUCUCUGCGGAGAGCUUCAACUCAAGCGCCAGUCAGACGCUUCUAUUGUGUGCCUAAGCAACAAGCGUCCCAUCCAGGCUCUCCAUGAGCUCCUUGAAGCCCCUCCUCCUCCAGAUAACUGUUGACAAAUCCUUUCCUCCUCUAACUUCCUGACUUCUUAGACCUCGAUUCUUUUCUACCCUCAGGAUGGGUGAGGAGCUCAGGGACAAAACUUCAGUUUUGGGCUGCUCUGUGCAGGGUCUGCAUGGUGGGGGGGGGGGGGGUUCAGCCUCCCUUUGGAAGCUGCAAGUUCUUGCCCCCUGCCUGCCCCCUGAGGAAACUUAUCAGAAACAGAGAUAGCCUGCCAAUAUAGGGCCCAGGCACAGCAUUUACAGUGACAACAGUUUACUCAAAAUUAGAGAUUUUGAAAUUAAAAUAUUUGAGAAACAUUUAAAAGAGUCACAACUCUGUGAAGAUGUUAGUACCUUUAUCAAUAGGAGGGAAAAAUUCCAUUCAACAAAUAUUGUGCUCAUCUCGUUUGUGCAGGAACCUGUAAUAAGUUCUGUUGAUACAUGAGUUAUUAGGACAGCCCCACGGUCUUGGGGAGCCCACAGUCAGAAACCAGGGAACAUGAAUAGACCAUUUUCUGAACUGAGAUGGGUGACAAUAGACUUUUGUCGUGGAGUCUGUGUGAGUUUCCCGAGCUUGUGGCUGGGAGUCAGGGUUGAGGAGCUUCUUCCCUGAAGCAGCCUGGUGGGUGGAUUGCUGUUAAGAACCUCUUUGAAAGAUCCAGUCCGCAUCUCUGAGUCUCGGGGCUCCAACAUACGCGUGAUGAAAUGGAGGAGUCAGCGGUCUGAGGUGAAUCCUGCCUUAAAGAGCGUGUGCCUUCUCUGGCUGGAUGCCGCCAGGAACCAUGAUUAAAUCAGACCCUCGUGGCUAGCUAACCUUACAGCAUGAUCCCACCCAGUUUAGGACAAAUGAGUACAUAUGUGAGAGUGAGAGUGUUGUUAACAGUCUUUUCUUGAAAAGACCCUCCAGAUGCACACAGAUUAACUUUAACCACGUAGUCCACUUCAGUGCUGCAAAGUCUAUUCACAAAUGGAGGACUGAGCCUUUAGUCAUGGACUAGCAAACGCCAGUUUUCUUUCUCUGUUUACUUAAUUCUUUAAAAUAUAGUACACGCGUAAGACUUAUGAGCCGGGAUCAAUGUAUGAUGUGCGAAGUUUACUGAAAUUAGUCGAAUUUAAGUGGAGAUGUUUUGAUUAAGACAGAGGGUCUCAACCCUGGCCAAAUAGCAAAGUCAUCAGGGGAAGCUCUUAAAAGGAAAACAGAUUACUGGAAUCAGAAUUUCUGAUUUUUAAGUUUCCCCAGGCGGUUCCCAUAAUCAGCCAAGGAGAGAAACGCUGGUCUAGGGAUUAGAAGAGCUGCUCCCGGGUCCCCAGGAGGCGGUGGGUCAGCCCUUUCUCUCCCACAGCUGCCCUGGACGUCAGCCCACAGGCGGGAGGGAGCUCAGUGCUAACCAAAUGCCCACGAGUGAAAUCUGCCGGAAAGGCAGAUCCAGGUGUGAUCCUUGACUGACAGCCUGAAACCCCAGCUGAACUUCCAAAGCAUCUUCGGGUCUCUGAAUCUACUAGGAGGAGGCCAGCAGAUAAGGACAGAAUUUCCCCUGAUGAGAAACUACAUCUGCUAUAUAAUUAACAGAGGCUUAGGAACAUUGGAACUGAGGUUUAGGGAACACUCCCUGUCCUGCCUCUUGGAGAAAGUCUAACACUCUAAGGAUUCAGUUUUUUCCUCCCCAAGUCUUUCCGAAUACAAUCAGAUUAUCUAAAUAUGUAAAUACCAUCCACAUCAGUCACUGGUAGGUAGAUGAUAUCUGGAGAAAUCCUGAUGUACUGUUUCAGACUGUAAAAAAUUUCCUCUGGACAAAUGAAUAGUAAACUCUUUUUAUCCCCUUCAGCCUUGUAAUAGCCAUUCUUUAAAUCUAACACGAAGAACCAUUGACUCUGCCAGAAAGCCCAGGGCACACUACCAUCAAGGUAUACUGGUCAGAUUUAGUCCAUUUCUUUAGUAUGUGACCAUCACAUCUAUUUUUAAUCUUUCUAAUUUCUCAAGUCUCAUUGGAUCCCCAAACUCAGUACUAUGAUGGUUACAAGGUCUUUAAUAUGGUCUGAUGGCUUUUUAACCGUACUCUUUAAAGGGUCAAUUGUCUCAUAAUUAUCACCUAGACUCUACACCUUUCCAAAAACCCAACCUCACUCUUGAAGAAUAUCACACUCCUGUCGGGCAGUUUUCCCAUUCUUCUCUCCAUCCAUCGCGUGCAAUCUAAGGAGUCACUGAAGUCAGCAUCACCUAAACUCAGCUCUCAGGCUUCUCUCCUUUGGAAAUGCUAGCUAGGACAUUUUGGAAAUGACUUCUUUGGGCCUUCUGACAUCUGUUAGUGUCAGCAAUCAUAUGGGUAAGUAUGGUCAUAUUCUGUUAUGAGAAUAUAUUAUCACAAUAAUGAAUAAUCACUUUUUAAUAUUAAAAGUUUAGACCAACCUAAAUAAAAAUUUCACUGGAAAUUCUGAUUCAAAGCCUUGCCUGCCUUAUGACUAUACUCUCUUCCCCCUUCUGCUUCAGAGUCCUCUAAAAUCAGGUUGUGGAGAGAUGGGAUUAGAAGAAAGAAGCAACAAAUUUUUGCCUAACUCACCCUGCAGCAGUCCCUGGUCUUGCAUGUCCUGGGGUGGCAAGCCUCCUUAGAGGCCUGUGUGGCCACAGCACGAGUCCUUUGGAGAGCCAGUAGGGAGCGCCCUCACUAUAGAGUUGUCUCGUGUGGGUCAUGUGCUUUCUGGCAGACUUAUUCCAAUCAUUCACAGCUCCAGCUUGCUCCUGGGAUCGUCUUACCUAGAGGAUGGCCCUCUGGAUUGGAGACUAGUAAAACGGCUCAAACCUAAUGUCCUUGACUGAUGGGAAACUCACAUGUCCUUGCCAGCUGAUAAAGGCUACACUGCUGUGGCUUCUUCUUACACGUCUACUGAUGUGGACUAAUUCAGCAAGCUCCUCAUCUGCUCAAUCUUCAGGGAUAUAAUUUGGAGAAAAUAACCAUCGUUUUUCCUCCUGCACUUUCUGGUUUCUGCCACGAUUUCCACCCAUCAAGCAGGUGGCUUUCCUCCUCUGGGGGAGGGCACACGCAGCCGAGAAAGAGGAAAUCAACUGAGUUCCCGAUGAGAUAUGUUAAAACUCCUGUGAGCAAGGCAUUUAGAAAGCCAAGGCUUGGAAGAGCCAAGCUUUUUGAGAUCACAAAGGGUUUUUGAGCAACAGAAGGCUAAGCCUCUGGAGACUGCUAGCCAUAGAGCCUUAAGGAUAAAUUUGUGGAUAAAUGCACGCUGAGAUAAGAGUAUUUUCCCACACAAAAGGAGAUGAGGUUUAAAGAGUGAGUGGGAAGAGCAUUAUCCGAGGGGAAGUGACUAGAGUUUGGAAACCGAGGGUGAGUGAGAUGGCAUGUUGUGCCCUGCCCUCAGCCUAGCCGCCCUCUGGAUGGUGUAGACGCAGACCGCAGACGGAUUUGGUGGGGGUCUUGGAACAGAGGACACAAGUUUUCUAUGAGCCUGAGGGAGCACAAGCCUCAAAGAUAAGUCCUUUUGGUGUGCAUGUUCCCAACCAGUCGUCAUCAUGUAGCAAUAGAAAACUACAUCAGAGAUGUUUCUUAGAAACGGCCACAGAGACCCCACCCCAAGUCUCUCACGAUCUUGGACCAGCACAGAAGAGUUUUCAAGAGUUUUCCAAAGUUUUAUGUAUUCCUAAGAAGAGCACAAGAGAGCCGGUUGGGAAUUUGCACUGACCUUACAGGUGGGGUAAACAGGAUGUGAAGUGACCUUAGACACGGCAGAGGGAAGGUGGAGGGGGAUGACCCACCAUUGUGGGUCAAAGUGGGCUAGAGGCUGAUGAGCAAGUAGCAGUAGACCCCAGCACAGGACUGAGAGAAAGUGAGGAAAAGAAGGAGACGCGUCUGCCCGCCAAUGUAUGCCAAUGUAUGCUGAAUCUCCUCCAAGAAAUAAACUAUGUCAUCCCCUAGAGAAAAAAGGAGAAGAAUACGAAAACAAUCUGGAAUUGACUAUUUACCCACAAGAGACAGAGGAAACCUCCUAGGCCUUCUACCUAAAUACACAGUGAACUCCAGAGGAGGGAGGUGAGAAGUCUUUCAAUUAUCCACAAAAUCUUGCUGAAUCCUGGGAAUGUUUUGAAGAAACAGACAAGGACAAUAGUUGCCAAAUUCUAAGGAAGUGCUAAAGAUGGACUAAAGUAAAUACUCUUUGAAGAGGACCUAGAGGGAGAAAUGUGGUAAGAUACACCCUGGGGGUGACACUUGAAACUUCCCACCGCCUUCCCACAUGGCCUCGAUGCCAAGGAGUGGGAUCUGGGCAUUUACUGCCGCAGAAGGGGAAUAGACUGAGUUGAAAACAAAUGGUUGGUUGGUUCCUACGUAUCCUUAUUGCAUAAAUAAGAAUAUCGAAGGCCAACGCUUACUAGAGCGAGAGCC
This is a long non-coding RNA of Equus caballus (horse), 4793 nucleotides long. Lineage: Eukaryota; Metazoa; Chordata; Mammalia; Perissodactyla; Equidae. The record is from Ensembl.